CCUACGGGAGGCAGCAGUGAGGAAUAUUGGUCAAUGGGCGGAAGCCUGAACCAGCCAAGUAGCGUGAGGGAUGAAGGCCCUACGGGUCGUAAACUGCUUUUGCACGGGAAUAAAAUCCUGCACCUGUGCAGGUCUGCAGGUACUGUACGAAUAAGGGUCGGCUAAUUCCGUGCCAGCAGCCGCGGUAAUACGGAAGGUCCGAGCGUUAUCCGGAUUUAUUGGGCUUAAAGGGAGCGUAGGGGGGGGGUUAAGUCAGGUGUGAAAGUCCGGCGCUCAACCGGCGAACGGCAGUUGAUACUGGCAGACUUGAGUUCAGGAGAGGCAGGCGGAAUUCGUGGUGUAGCGGUGAAAUGCAUAGAUAUCACGAGGAACCCCGAUUGCGAAGGCAGCCUGCUGGGAUGCGACUGACGCUGAGGCUCGAAGGUGUGGGUAUCAAACAGGAUUAGAUACCCCUGUAGUC
This 460-nucleotide ribosomal RNA is filed under the name uncultured bacterium. RNAcentral's name for it is "partial 16S ribosomal RNA". It matches the Rfam family "Bacterial small subunit ribosomal RNA", at positions 338 to 795 of the family's 1533-position model. The record is from RNAcentral.